AAGAGAUUUCCAGACAGUCAAGGAUGCAACAGAGAGUUUUGUGAAGUGGGCAAAUGACAAGCUGGAGGAGCAGGAUGAGGAGAUGGGCAUGGAGGUGGAGGUUUCACUACCGCAGAGGAGGCCAAAGAAGAAGAAGUCCAUGCCAGGAGAGAUGGCCUAGGAUGAAACUUCCAAUGACCCAAGCAAGACGUAUGAGGUUAAAGUCCAUAACCAAAUUAUGGACACCGUUAUUGAGGCCAUGCAAAGACGAUUCCUCGAUAACAGCAAUCUGUAUGCGGACCUCUCAAUUCUUGACCCCCGAAACUUCCCAGAUAUCAAAACCAGUGGUCUUCCUGAGUCUGCACUAAAAGACCUAAGCAGAAGUCUCAUCAAAUUUAACAAUUCGGCAACCAUAUCAAAUUUACAAUCUGAACUUGAAAGCUUGGCAAGCCAGUGGGACAUGCUGAAGCGUCCACCACUAGAUGAGUACACAUCCCGUACUGUGGAGGAAGGACCUGGUGGAGACCCAGAGAUGGAAAUUGUCAGCAAAGCCUGUGCCUCAUGUAAAAACUGCCCCCUGUGUUGCUACCAGAUUCUCCUCAGAUUCAACCUGCUCACAGACGCAUACCCUCUUCUUUCUCUGUCCUACAAAUAUCUGCUGACACUCUCAGUGACACAGGUAGCCUGCGAAAGAUCAUUUUCAACUUUGAAAUUCAUCAAGAGCAGGCUGAGGAGCAGCUUAUCUGCUGGUAAAUUGGAGGCCUUCAUGCUGAUGUCCACAGAAAAGGACAUCCUCAUGGGAUUGGACACAGACAGUGUCAUAGACAGAGUGGCCGAAAAAAGUGAACUUCUUCGGAAGCUCCUACUCUACUAAAGAAGCCUCUGUCUCAGGUUGUGGCGACGACUUGCUUUCACAAAGGUUCCAUUUCAGGAUUGUGAGAUUGGAUUGUGAGGAUUGUUUUUGGAGAUAGACAGACGUUUGGUUUCUGGGGCUUCACAUGUACAUAGUUCUUACUGGAUUGACGGGGUUUGUGAGCGUUGGUUCCGGUGAAGUCAGCUAUUCACC
Long non-coding RNA from Gadus macrocephalus (Pacific cod), 1045 nucleotides. RefSeq lists it as uncharacterized. Lineage: Eukaryota; Metazoa; Chordata; Actinopteri; Gadiformes; Gadidae. The transcript has 4 exons. The record is from RefSeq and is a predicted model, not a curated record.